RNAcentral lists this transfer RNA (74 nucleotides) under Rhodovulum sp. RNAcentral describes it as "tRNA-Asp". It matches the Rfam family "tRNA". From Rfam's summary of the family: Transfer RNA (tRNA) molecules are approximately 80 nucleotides in length. Their secondary structure includes four short double-helical elements and three loops (D, anti-codon, and T loops). Lineage: Bacteria; Pseudomonadati; Pseudomonadota; Alphaproteobacteria; Rhodobacterales; Paracoccaceae. The record is from RNAcentral.
GAGGGAGUAACUCAGUUGGUCAGAGUGCUGGUCUGUCACGCCGGAAGUCGCGGGUUCAAGUCCCGUCUCUCUCG